CUGUGGGUUGUAAACCUCUUUUCUCAGGGAAGAAGCUCUGACGGUACCUGAGGAAUAAGCAUCGGCUAACUCCGUGCCAGCAGCCGCGGUAAGACGGAGGAUGCAAGCGUUAUCCGGAAUUAUUGGGCGUAAAGCGUCCGUAGGCGGUCGAUUAACCGUGCUGUCAAAGACUGCAGCUCAACUGUGGAUAGGCAGUGGAAACUGAUUGACUAGAGUACGGUAGGGGUAGAGGGAAUUCCCAGUGUAGCGGUGAAAUGCGUAGAUAUUGGGAAGAACACCAGUGGCGAAGGCGCUCUACUGGGCCGUAACUGACGCUGAGGGACGAAAGCUAGGGGAGCGAAUGGGAUUAG
Molecule: ribosomal RNA, 350 nt
Filed under: Halomicronema sp. K102
Lineage: Bacteria; Bacillati; Cyanobacteriota; Cyanophyceae; Nodosilineales; Nodosilineaceae
Description: bacterial SSU rRNA
Rfam family: Bacterial small subunit ribosomal RNA
Source: RNAcentral